RNAcentral lists this ribosomal RNA (436 nucleotides) under uncultured Anaerolineaceae bacterium. RNAcentral's name for it is "bacterial SSU rRNA". It matches the Rfam family "Bacterial small subunit ribosomal RNA", at positions 28 to 457 of the family's 1533-position model. The record is from RNAcentral. Lineage: Bacteria; Bacillati; Chloroflexota; Anaerolineae; Anaerolineales; Anaerolineaceae.
GAUGAACGCUGGCGGCGUGCCUAAUACAUGCAAGUCGAACGAGGUGCUUUUGUAGCAAUACGAAAGUAUCCUAGUGGCGAACGGGUGAGUAACGCGUUGGUGACCUACCCCAAAGUGUGGGAUAACAGUCCGAAAGGAUUGCUAAUACCGCAUGUGGUUAUCGGACUUAGAAACUGAUAACUAAAGGAGCAAUUCGCUUUGGGAGGGACCUGCGUCCCAUCAGCUAGUUGGUGAGGUAAUGGCUCACCAAGGCUACGACGGGUAGGGGACCUGAGAGGGUGACCCCCCACAAUGGAACUGAAACACGGUCCAUACACCUACGGGUGGCAGCAGUAGGGAAUAUUGCACAAUGGGCGAAAGCCUGAUGCAGCAACGCCGCGUGUGCGAUGAAGGCCUUCGGGUCGUAAAGCACUUUUCUGAGGGAUGAGCAAGGACA